UUUCCGUAGGUGAACCUGCGGAAGGAUCAUUAAAGAGUUAAGAUCUUCGAGAUCGACUGCCAACCUUUCGUCUAAGUACCAUGUUGCUUGGGAGGACCCGCCUAACGACCGCCAGCAGUUUGAGGCGACCCCCCAACUAUUGGACCAUGUCUGUCAAUGGCCCUAUUCAAAUUCUUGUUAAAUUGAGAUGUCUGAGUUAUAAACUUAAUAGUUAAAACUUUCAACAACGGAUCUCUUGGUUCUG
Molecule: unclassified non-coding RNA, 244 nt
Filed under: plant metagenome
Description: partial contains small subunit ribosomal RNA, internal transcribed spacer 1, and 5.8S ribosomal RNA
Source: RNAcentral